Molecule: long non-coding RNA, 384 nt
Filed under: Citrus x clementina
Lineage: Eukaryota; Viridiplantae; Streptophyta; Magnoliopsida; Sapindales; Rutaceae
Description: Citrus clementina (C. clementina) long non-coding RNA (CCLE_LNC006462)
Source: RNAcentral
UAAUUAUAAGUCUUUUGAAACAUUUAUUUAUCUUAUUAUGCUACCAAUUAAACUUUAGUGGCUUAAAAUACAUGAAUUAAUUAACAUAGGAAGAGAUGUUCUUUCAUUUUCCCUCAACAAUGCCACUAAGGCCUAAUUUUAAUGUCAUAAUCUCAUAUUUAAUUAUGCAACCUUUUGUUGAGUGUCUUUUGGCUUCUUCAAAAUUUAUUAUGCUAUCAAUUAAACUUUAGUGCCUUAAAAUACAUCACCUAAUUAACAUAGGAAGAGAGGUUCUUUCAUCUUCUCUCAACCUCAUCUUUUUAUAUUCUCUAUUAUUUAAAAUAUCUAAAAUAUUGGUGGAUAUUCUUUGUACAUAUAUCAUAAUAUGACACUCAAAAAAAUAAA